GCCUAGAUAGCUCAGUCGGUAGAGCAAAGGACUGAAAAUCCUUGUGUCGGCGGUUCGAUUCCACCUCUAGGCACCA
This 76-nucleotide transfer RNA is filed under the name Rickettsiales bacterium. RNAcentral's name for it is "tRNA-Phe". It matches the Rfam family "tRNA". From Rfam's summary of the family: Transfer RNA (tRNA) molecules are approximately 80 nucleotides in length. Their secondary structure includes four short double-helical elements and three loops (D, anti-codon, and T loops). Lineage: Bacteria; Pseudomonadati; Pseudomonadota; Alphaproteobacteria; Rickettsiales. RNAcentral also lists the same sequence under 1 other name. The record is from RNAcentral.